This 61-nucleotide transfer RNA is filed under the name Hermissenda emurai. Its description in RNAcentral is "tRNA-Asn". The record is from RNAcentral. Lineage: Eukaryota; Metazoa; Mollusca; Gastropoda; Nudibranchia; Glaucidae.
UAAAGGUGAAGCUUUUAUAGCGUUUAACUGUUAAUUAAAAGAAGCCUUCCGCCAUCUUUAU